RNAcentral lists this ribosomal RNA (424 nucleotides) under Verrucomicrobiota bacterium. RNAcentral describes it as "Verrucomicrobia bacterium partial 16S ribosomal RNA". It matches the Rfam family "Bacterial small subunit ribosomal RNA", at positions 355 to 776 of the family's 1533-position model. Lineage: Bacteria; Pseudomonadati; Verrucomicrobiota. The record is from RNAcentral.
UGAGGAAUAUUGGUCAAUGGACGCAAGUCUGAACCAGCCAAGUAGCGUGCAGGAUGACGGCCCUAUGGGUUGUAAACUGCUUUUAUAUGGGGAUAAAGUGGGGAACGUGUUCCCUUUUGCAGGUACCAUAUGAAUAAGGACCGGCUAAUUCCGUGCCAGCAUCCGCGGUAAUACGGAAGGUUCGGGCGUUAUCCGGCUUUAUUGGGUUUAAAGGGAGCGUAGGCCGUUUGGUAAGCGUGUUGUGAAAUGUAGGAGCUCAACUUCUAGAUUUCAACGCGAACUGUCAGACUUGAGUGCACACAACGUAGGCGGAAUUCAUGGUGUAGCAGUGAAAUGCUUAGAUAUCAUGAAGAAAUCCGAUUGCGAAGGCAGCUUACGGGAGCGAAACUGACGCUGAAGAUCGAAGGUGCGGGUAUCGAACAGG